Molecule: small RNA, 136 nt
Filed under: Pluralibacter gergoviae
Lineage: Bacteria; Pseudomonadati; Pseudomonadota; Gammaproteobacteria; Enterobacterales; Enterobacteriaceae
Description: Leucine operon leader
Rfam family: Leucine operon leader
About the family: At least 6 amino acid operons are known to be regulated by attenuation. In each a leader sequence of 150-200 bp is found upstream of the first gene in the operon. This leader sequence can assume two different secondary structures known as the terminator and the anti-terminator structure.
Source: RNAcentral
CAUGAUGCGUACCACCCACUUCACCGGUCUACUACUACUAAACGCUCUUACUGUGCGCGGUAGACUGGUGGGUGACGUUCAGCGUUAAUCGAGCCCUCAGAAAUAAAAAAACCCGCGCCGUGUCGCGGGUUUUUUU